AACCUUAUGGACCUGCGGGCGUAUACCUGCGGAAGGAUCAUUACACAACAAAAUAUGAAGGUCUGGCUUCGCGGCCGGCUGAAGUAUUUUUUUUCACCCAUGUCUUUUGCGCACUUGUUGUUUCCUGGGCGGGUUCGCCCGCCACCAGGACCAAACCAUAAACCUUUUUUUUAUGUAGUUGCAAUCAGCGUCAGUAAAAACAAUGUAAUUAUUACAACUUUUAACAAUGGAUCUCAGAUC
RNAcentral lists this unclassified non-coding RNA (240 nucleotides) under soil metagenome. RNAcentral's name for it is "partial contains 5.8S ribosomal RNA, internal transcribed spacer 2, and large subunit ribosomal RNA". The record is from RNAcentral.